RNAcentral lists this ribosomal RNA (464 nucleotides) under uncultured bacterium. RNAcentral's name for it is "partial 16S ribosomal RNA". It matches the Rfam family "Bacterial small subunit ribosomal RNA", at positions 339 to 795 of the family's 1533-position model. The record is from RNAcentral.
CUACGGGCUGCAGCAGUGGGGAAUAUUGCACAAUGGGCGAAAGCCUGAUGCAGCAACGCCGCGUGGGUGAUGAAGGCUUUCGGGUCGUAAAGCCCUGUCAGAGGGGAAGAAAGGAUAGUGGAGGAAAUGCCACUGUAUUGACGGUACCCUCAAAGGAAGCACCGGCUAACUCCGUGCCAGCAGCCGCGGUAAUACGGGGGGUGCUAUCGUUGUUCGGAAUCACUGGGCGUAAAGCGCGUGUAGGCGGAUGAUCAAGUCAGAUGUGAAAUCCCACGGCUCAACCGGGGACGUGCAUUUGAAACUGAUCGUCUAGAGUAAGGUAGAGGGAAGGGGAAUUCCCGGUGUAGAGGUGAAAUUCGUAGAUAUCGGGAGGAAUACCGGUGGCGAAGGCGCCUUCCUGGACCAUUACUGACGCUCAGACGCGAAAGCGUGGGUAGCAAACAGGAUUAGAUACCCCCGUAGUC